GAAAUGCGAUAAGUAAUGUGAAUUGCAGAAUUCAGUGAAUCAUCGAAUCUUUGAACGCCCAUUGCGCCCGCCAGUAUUCUGGCGGGCAUGCCUGUCCGAGCGUCAUUUCAACCAUCAAGCCCCCGGGCUUGUGUUGGGGACCUGCGGCUGCCCGCAGGCCCUGAAAACCAGUGGCGGGCUCGCUGUCACACCGAGCGUAGUAGCAAUCACCUCGCUCAGGGCGUGCUGCGGGUUCCGGCCGUUAAACAGCCUUACAAAACCCAAGGUUGACCUCGGAUCAGGUAGGAAGACCCGCUGAACUUAAGC
RNAcentral lists this unclassified non-coding RNA (306 nucleotides) under plant metagenome. Its description in RNAcentral is "partial contains 5.8S ribosomal RNA, internal transcribed spacer 2, and large subunit ribosomal RNA". The stretch from base 1 to 105 matches the Rfam family "5.8S ribosomal RNA", at positions 50 to 154 of the family's 154-position model. The record is from RNAcentral.